GUUCAAUAUAGAGCAAAAUGUAUCCAAAUGCCAGAAAUAUCUGUGAAGUGGCCUGAUUUUGUAACUGCUUUUCCUAAGCUCGGGACUAGUGAGUGCCCUGCAUGGGAUAGGUUGAUUUUCCCUAAUCAUACCAAGAGACGAUGAGGACUGCUCUUGGAUGAACAAGAAAUGGAAAAUCAGCACAAAGGAGACAGAGUUUGCAAAAAACAGGACAUAACCCUUCAAUAUUAUGCCCUUAAUCUUUGUCCUGAACUGCUGAUCUUCAGAGGGACCCAGGAGAAGAUGAGUCCACCGUUUCUACUGGGGAAAAAAAAACAAAACAACAACAACAAAAAACACAUCAAACUGUGGGACACUGGAUGGGUGGAUGGGCUAGGCCUGAAAAGAGAUUGCCAAAUACAAGUCCCUUCCAGAUGAAAAGUGGAUCCUUUAGGAAAAGGAGGUAAGAGAUGUAUGGUUUACAUGUAGGUUUCUGGUUAUGACUGCUUUUAACUGAUGAGUUCCCAUGUUGGAAUUGGUGUAACUCUGGAGAGAAUAUUUCCAAAUGGUUCUCAAGGAAUGUCAUGUAGCAUUUAUUAGAGUCACUCCAACAGGGACGCUUCCCACUUGCUUUGAUUUAGUGACAUUACUGCUGGUUAAAAGCCUUAGGUAAGCCCACACACAGUGGCUGGCGAUUUGGAUAAUUAGCAGGAAUGGCAGAGGCCUGUCUCUUUACAAGGAAGUUAGCAGUGACAUGCAAUUAAAGCAAACCGUGGGGGGAUGCUGGGGAGUUCUAAGGAUUGUAGUGGGUCGGGAGAAAUCAAACCAUAUAUACAGAUUUCCCUUUCCUACAAAGGAUUUCUGCUUGCUUCUUUUAAAAAGUUCUUCCAGAGGUAACUAUGUUCUUUCACACAAACAGAAACAAAAAGAACAACGUAACUCACUCCAUUGUUAUUUUCCUCCUAAUUUUGUGGACCGCUAUGGCCAGUUGGUGAAGCUGUUUAUCCACUGGAAUCUUGAUGAGAUGCUCCCUCAGUCUGUGGGGAGACAUGGACAAGAGACCAUGACUGUGAAGAUGCUAAAAACAGGCAGGGUGGGAAAAGACUUGACAAAGAGCACAGAGAAGGGGAUGGGGAGGCAGAGAAGAGGGGAGAGAAGGAAGAGGAGAGAAGCAUGGACACCACGGGCCACGAACAAUCCUCUUUAA
Molecule: long non-coding RNA, 1186 nt
Filed under: Sus scrofa (pig)
Lineage: Eukaryota; Metazoa; Chordata; Mammalia; Artiodactyla; Suidae
Description: lncRNA (ENSSSCG00065009470.1)
Source: RNAcentral